Parasteatoda tepidariorum (common house spider) is the source of this 676-nucleotide long non-coding RNA. RefSeq lists it as uncharacterized. NCBI's taxonomy places the organism in Eukaryota, Metazoa, Arthropoda, Arachnida, Araneae, Theridiidae. The record is from RefSeq and is a predicted model, not a curated record.
AGAUAGUUGCUGGAUAGCAAUAUAAAGUGUAUACAUCAGUCCGUUUUAAAAGAAGCAUUGUUUAUACACAAAAAUUCUUUCAACUUUCGAACUUAUUGUUCUAUUGGCUCGUGUAUAGUACACGAAUGCAUCGGAAACGAUGACUUAUUGUUUCAGAUAGCAAUCAGAUGAGUAAGUUGGAUCAAGUACACAUUUGUACUUUUUAUACAUCAGGGAUGAGAUUGGCCAAAAAGCAAAAAAGCUGAAUUUCCACACGUGAUUCCUGGUUCAAGUGUGAAACUCUACCGAAAAGGAAAGAGAGUGAAAAAGUUUGAAAUUGCUGUCUCAAAUGAUACUGUCACCAUCAUAUUUAAAAAACAUAAACUGAGUGACAGUGGAAUAUACUAUCUUGCUUUGUGCCACAACAACAACGAGGACAGCGUGUUAUUGAAUUUGUCUUUCCAUAGAAUGAUAAAAGAGAAGAUCGAUUUCUACUCUCAUUUGCCAAAACCGAAAGGGGAAAAAUAUUGGAACUUCUUCGAGGAAAAAGGCAAAUUUUACGGAUAUCAAAAAAGAUUCAACCUUUAGGUUGCAAAUGAGGAAAUGCCAAAAAUAGUUUAAGAAGGCAUGCAGUCUAAGAAGAUGCUUGUAUUUAUGUUGAUGACUUAUAUUCUUAUUUAUUCUUAUUUAUUCUUUU